AAAGCUUUAAGUUAAAUUUAAACUAUUAACCUUCAAAGUUAAAAAUAUACAUAAAGUACAAGCUUUA
This 67-nucleotide transfer RNA is filed under the name Dolycoris baccarum (sloe bug). RNAcentral's name for it is "tRNA-Trp". The record is from RNAcentral. Lineage: Eukaryota; Metazoa; Arthropoda; Insecta; Hemiptera; Pentatomidae. RNAcentral also lists the same sequence under 2 other names.